RNAcentral lists this long non-coding RNA (4050 nucleotides) under Equus caballus (horse). RNAcentral's name for it is "lncRNA (ENSECAG00000050330.1)". The record is from RNAcentral. Lineage: Eukaryota; Metazoa; Chordata; Mammalia; Perissodactyla; Equidae.
UACCUAGUUAAGCUUGUUGAGUGUGGAGGGUCAAGGGAUGUUGCUACAGGCUGAAUAUUUUUGUUCCCUCAGAAUUCAUCUGUUGAAACCUAAUCCCCAAUGUGAUGGUAUUCACAGCUGGAGCUUGUAGGAGGUGGUUAGGUUAUGAGGGUGGAGCCCUCAGGAUUGGGAUUAGCGACCUUCAAAGGAGACAGUAGCAUGCUCCUUCCACCAUGUGAAGAAACAGUGGGAAGAUAGCCAGCCAUCUUUGAACCAGGAAGAAGGAUCUCAUCAGAUACCCAGGCUGCCAUCGCCGUUAUCUUGGACUGCCCAGCCUCUGGAACUGUGAGAACUCAAUGUUUGCUGUUUAAGUUACCCAGGACCCUCUAAGGCAAUGCUUCUCCAAGGGAGGCACCAAGAGCAUCUGCAUCAGAAUCCUCUGAGGCACAUGCCUUGACUAUAAUGCCAUGCUCAGGAUGUAAAAGAGGCAUACUCCAAAGGGCAGCAUUUUAAGUAAAAGCAUCAAAUCAUAACCAAACGACUUCCAGAGAAAUCAGCCAAGAGACUGCAGCAAGAGUCAGAGAAAGCCUUCAAACCCCUAAGUGUUUUCAAAAAACUUCCCAAACAGCACUUUUGUGGGAGGGGCAUGCUCUAAGUGACAUUGUUUCACACCCAAUUUGUUGUGCAUAGUUUAUCCUGCCUUGCAUGCCAAUUGGAUUGCAGAAAUGCUUUGUAUGCAGCCUGGGAAAGGUAUAAAGGACGUAAGUAAUGCAGGCUUGACUGUACUAUAUGGUAAUCGGAGCUUUGCACCUCACACAGGCCUCAUCACGGAUGUCACGUUUUCUAAAAUCUUGCCCUUUAGAAUAGACCUCCUAUUCUUUUUAGAGUUGGCAUGGACAUGUACUUUAUCAUUCUCAGAUAUGAAAUAUGUGGUUUCAAAGAGCAGUAGAUUCAGAAAAAGGAGAAUUUUUAAAAAAUUCAAUUGCAAAUGGAGGACAAAUUGGUGACCUAGAAGGCUUGUGAUCAUGGUACAGGUCCUAACUAUUGAAUAUUUUUCAGUUCCCACUUGUAAUGAUGUCACCAGGAAAUUAGCAUGUUGUAUAAGUUUGUGGCAUAUUCGCAUUUAAGUUAAAUGGUAACAGGUAAUCUAUCCAGGUUUUGCCUUAACUAAAAUCACUAGGUAAGUUCUAGUACUUUUAUUGAGUCGUGUUUCAUUGCUCAUUGUAUAAAAGCACAUAAAAUUUUUGAGAGAUAGGUGUUUGCUUAUUUCGCUCAAUGCUCUUUACUGCCAUUUUCCCAGUAUCUGGUAGAAUGUUGAAUAGUGGAGAGAGUAGAAAUAUUUUCCUUGUUUUCUGUCUUUGGGUAACAGCUUUCAAUGCUUCACACUUACGUAUAAAACUACCCUUAGCUUUCUCACAGAUAGCCUUCAUCCACUCAAGGACUUUUUCUUCUAUUAUUAGUUUAAUGAGAAUUGUUUUCAUGCAUAGAUGUUGAAUUAUUUCAAAUACUUUUACUGUUUCUGUUGAAAGGAUCAUAUGGCUUUUCUGCCUUAUUCUACUCAUAUGAAAGUGAUGUUGACUGGUUUUCAAUUGAUGGACGAACCUUGUAUGGCUGGAAUAAGCCCCACCUGGUCAUGAUGUAUUAUUCUCUGCACAAAUUGCUGGAUUCAUUUGCUAUGUUGUUAAAGAUUUUGUGUAUAUGUUCAUGAGGGAUAUUGAGCUUAAAAAGAACCUGGAAUGGUGAAUCUGCUUUGAUGUUUCUAUCCAUGAAGAAUAUUUGAUGGAGUAUAAUAUUUCUGCCUUGAGAUUUUGCAGCAUCUCCCAGAUCUGUGUGGAAUUUGUUCAGAUUAAAGCUCCCGGCUGUCCUUCUUGGUCCUGCCUUGUGAGUUUCUCCUUGUGAAUGCACAGAUUAGCCCUGAGCUAACUACUGCCAGUCCUCCUAUUUUUUGCUGAGGAAGCCUGGCCCUGAGCUAGCAUCCGUGCCUACCUUCCUCUACUUUAUACGUGGGACACCUACCACAGCAUGGCAUGCCAAGCGGUGCCAUGUCCUCACUUGGGAUCCGAACCUACGAACCCCAGGCCACCGAGAAGCGGAACAUGUUUAUUUGGAUUCCCAUUUUUAUUCGGGUUUCUAGUGGUUACUGUAGAAAUCCCAGCAUGCUCCUCUAAGUCUUCUGCGGCCCUGGGAAGUGGUCUGCAUCCACCUCUGAGGCUCUCCUUUCACAGAUCAGACCUUCAUAAAUACAAAGAGUCAUUCUCAAGAAUGUGAACAAUGACUUUAUUUGUGAAAAUGAAUAACACUGAAAUCUUAUUUAUUGAUUCAGAAGAGGACUUAAGAUAUAUCAUUCUGGACCCCUUAUAUUCAGAUCCUCAUUUAGUGAGAACUGCCAAAAUUCAUCUAAUCAGUUUUCACAGCAACAUUUAAGAAAUACAAUAUGCUUAUAACUUUACAAAGAGAGGAAUUUCAGAAAGUACAAUUUUGAAUUCCAUCAUUACUACUGCAAUCAUAUUCUCAAGGUAUGAGGCAAAAUAAUGUGGAACUGCUAGUUACAUGUAAGUAUAUUUGACAUUUUCAGCAGUCCUCCUCCAAAAGAAAAGAAAAAGAGAGAAUGAAGAAUCAGAAAAUGACGGUUUGUACCAGAAUAGAAACACUACUAUCUGAGAAAAAAAAAUGCAUCUGGUUCCACAUAGUUGAAUGAAAUUUCUUCUAUUCAAACAGCGCAGUGCUUCAAACUCCAGACCCCUCUUGUCUCUACCACCUGGCAUAAUGAUUAUUCCCGGAUAAAUCUGAAUCAGCAAAGUGUAAAAUGUGGAGACUUCGUUUUAGAACAAUGCCAUGAAAAAAUCGGAAGCAUCUUAAUAGGAAGCUUAACGUGCCAAGUAUUAUCAUGUUGAUUUCCUGACCUGAUUUUCCAUCUCUGAUAUGAAGAGUCGCUCCUUGGUUCACUGGUGCUGUGCCUGAUUCGGUCUUCCGCUGAGUCUUUGCUACCAAAAGUGAAAGUAGUUAAGAUAGUUUAAUAAGUGCCGUUAUAAUGAACCAGCGGUCUCCAAGCCCUGUGCUUUAAAAAUCCAAUAAGCUGACUUUGCACUAUUUAACUCUGUUAAUUAGAGUAAGCGCCACCUGAAGGAAAUGAGACGUGGAGGACGGAUGUAACUGUAGCUUUGUGUUUUUUCCUUCUCCCAUUUCUACCCCGACCUAUGUGAAGGGGAGAGAGGCCAUAAUUGUAAUAAGGAUCCAGGCCACUUAAUAAAUGUUUAAUUGCAUUCAGAUCUGUUCACUUAGCUUACGAGUUAUUGUCAGCCCGUUAAUGGACCGUUAAUUAAAAAGCAUAUUCAAUGAGGUGAGGAUCAUUUUCAUGUGGAAGGUUUCUACCUGCCUUUGGAGUCCUGAUGGACAGUCUCUGCUAAUUAGCAUCAUUUCACAGAAGACCAAACCUUUGUGCCAUUUAAUAAAAUAUAGCUCAUGACAGCAGCAUAACGUAUGAAGGAACGAUAGCUAGGGUUAAGGACCAAAUUUGGCAGUGUGGCUGCAAAUUAAGAAAGAAUGAAGGUACAUAAGAAAGCUUUAAAGCUAUAAGUAAAAGGGGAAGUGUGCAAGCUCUAAAAAAUUUUUUGUAUUUUUUAAUAUAUUUUAUAGAAAAUGUGUCUGUUAAUACUCGGUCAGUUUUUGCCUUUGAUUCGUAGAACAAUUCCUCUUCCUUCGCAUUCAUUUCCCAGGACACUGUAUUUUACUACAUUUGUGAUUUCAAAAAUUCAACAUAAAAGCUGCUUUCUAGAUAUUUUUUAAGUUUAUGAUAUUAAAGAAUAAUAUAUUUCAAUAAAUUUUAUAAUAUAUUUUGCAUGCCUACUAAGGGAAAGUCACUGUUUUGGGGAAUAAAUUUUAGUUUUAAUUUCUUUCGUGAAUUGUGCAGAUGCUGUUGUAGAAAUAGGACAAGGUCCUCUAUCUUGUGGUGAUUUACACUUGAUAUUUUGGAAAAUAUACUCUUCAUACAGGUGCACUAAAUUAAUAGCACAUUUAACAACUCAAUUUUUUUUUUAAAGAUUUUAUUUUUUCCUUUUUCUCCCCAAAGCC